GGGAAUGUAGCUUAGUGGUAGAGUGCUUGCCUAGUAUGCAUAAAGCCCUGAGUUCAAUUCCUCAGUACCA
RNAcentral lists this transfer RNA (70 nucleotides) under Dipodomys ordii (Ord's kangaroo rat). It matches the Rfam family "tRNA". Rfam says of the family: Transfer RNA (tRNA) molecules are approximately 80 nucleotides in length. Their secondary structure includes four short double-helical elements and three loops (D, anti-codon, and T loops). Further hydrogen bonds mediate the characteristic L-shaped molecular structure. tRNAs have two regions of fundamental functional importance: the anti-codon, which is responsible for specific mRNA codon recognition, and the 3' end, to which the tRNAs corresponding amino acid is attached (by aminoacyl-tRNA synthetases). tRNAs cope with the degeneracy of the genetic code in two manners: having more than one tRNA (with a specific anti-codon) for a particular amino acid; and 'wobble' base-pairing, i.e. permitting non-standard base-pairing at the 3rd anti-codon position. Lineage: Eukaryota; Metazoa; Chordata; Mammalia; Rodentia; Heteromyidae. The record is from Rfam by way of RNAcentral.